GUGCUCGCUCGGCAGCACAUAUAACUAAGAAUUGGAACGAUACCAGAGAAGAUAAGCAUGGCCCCGCGCAAGGAGACACGCAAAAUUCGUGAAAGCGUUCCCAUAUUU
This is a small nuclear RNA of Xenopus laevis (African clawed frog), 108 nucleotides long. The record is from RefSeq and is a predicted model, not a curated record. NCBI's taxonomy places the organism in Eukaryota, Metazoa, Chordata, Amphibia, Anura, Pipidae.